UUAGCUACCUCUGAUGUUAGCAGAUCUCACUCCCAGACUGUGACUGAUAGGAGGUGUCCACAUGGUCUGAUAAACACUCCUAACAACCCCACCACUAGGAGGUGUCCACAUGGUCUGAUAAACACUCCUAACAACCCCACCACUAGGAGGUGUCCACAUGGUCUGAUAAACACUUCUAACAACCAGACCACUAGGAGGUGUCCACAUGGUCUGAUUAAAACGCCUAAUGACCCGACCACUAGGAGGUGUCCACAUGGUCUGAUAAACACUCCUAACAACCAGACCACUAGGACGUGUCCACAUGGUCUGAUAAACACUCCUAACAACCCCACCACUAGGAGGUGUCCACAUGGUCUGAUAAACACUCCUAACAACCCCACCACUAGGAGGUGUCCACAUGGUCUGAUAAACACUCCUAACAACCCCACCACUAGGAGGUGUCUACAUGGUCUGAUAAACACUCCUAACAACCCCACCACUAGGAGGUGUCCACAUGGUCUGAUAAACACUCCUAACAACCCCACCACUAGGAGGUGUCCACAUGGUCUGAUAAACACUCCUAACAACCCCACCACUAGGAGGUGUCCACAUGGUCUGAUAAACACUCCUAACAACCCCACCACUAGGAGGUGUCCACAUGGUCUGAUAAACACUCCUAACAACCAGACCACUAGGAGGUGUCCACAUGGUCUGAUAAACACUCCUAACAACCCCACCACUAGGAGGUGUCCACAUGGUCUGAUAAACACUCCUAACAACCCCACCACUAGGAGGUGUCCACAUGGUCUGAUAAACACUCCUAACAACCAGACCACUAGGAGGUGUCCACAUGUUCUGAUAAACACUCCUAACAACCCCACCACUAGGAGGUGUCCACAUGGUCUGAUAAACACUCCUAACAACCAGACCACUAGGAGGUGUCCACAUGGUCUGAUAAACACUCCUAACAACCCCACCACUAGGAGGUGUCCACAUGGUCUGAUAAACACUCCUAACAACCCCACCACUAGGAGGUGUCCACAUGGUCUGAUAAACACUCCUAACAACCUCACCACUAGGAGGUGUCCACAUGGUCUGAUGAACACUCCUAACAACCAGACCACUAGGAGGUGUCCACAUGGUCUGAUAAACACUCCUAACAACCAGACCACUAGGAGGUGUCCACAUGGUCUGAUGAACACUCCUAACAACCCCACCACUAGGAGGUGUCCACAUGGUCUGAUUAACACUCCUAACAACCCCACCACUAGGAGGUGUCCACAUGGUCUGAUUAACACUCCUAACAACCCCACCACUAGGAGGUGUCCUCAUGGUCCGAUAAACACUCCUAACAACCCCACCACUAGCAGGUGUCCACAUGUUCUGAUUAACACUCCUAACAACCCCACCACUAGGAGGUGUCCACAUGGUCCUAAAGCACACCGUUGCUUCCUUUUUUAUCACAUUCUAAUAAUCAAACUGGUGGGGACAAAUAUGAACUUGCUUGCGAUUAGAGGGUUGGGCCAGUAA
Molecule: long non-coding RNA, 1509 nt
Filed under: Oncorhynchus mykiss (rainbow trout)
Lineage: Eukaryota; Metazoa; Chordata; Actinopteri; Salmoniformes; Salmonidae
Description: lncRNA (ENSOMYG00000060371.1)
Source: RNAcentral